RNAcentral lists this transfer RNA (95 nucleotides) under Streptomyces longispororuber. RNAcentral describes it as "tRNA-Phe". The record is from RNAcentral. Lineage: Bacteria; Bacillati; Actinomycetota; Actinomycetes; Kitasatosporales; Streptomycetaceae.
GGUGCGCCUAGCGUGGGCCCAUGGACGCGGGCACGGAAGGUGUCGAAGCGGCGAUGCGGCGCUGCUGCGGCGGCUCCGCGUCCGCCGCGGGCUGC